AAAUACCACCUUCAACCAUUAGAACCUCUCAACCUCCACCUGUUCUAAAAAUUGCCCGUACUUUUACAACAACCUCUGACCCUAAUCAACUAUAUCACCACAGUUCUUCCUCAUCCUCUGAGUAUGAGUCACCACCUUACCUUUCCCCUUCUUCUAACCAAGAGUCCUCUGAUCAUGAGUCUUCUGAUCAAGAACACUCUGACCCAAACUCCCCA
RNAcentral lists this long non-coding RNA (215 nucleotides) under Lathyrus oleraceus (garden pea). Its description in RNAcentral is "Pisum sativum (pea) long non-coding RNA (PSAT_LNC013132)". The record is from RNAcentral. Lineage: Eukaryota; Viridiplantae; Streptophyta; Magnoliopsida; Fabales; Fabaceae.